This 22642-nucleotide long non-coding RNA is filed under the name Triticum aestivum (bread wheat). Its description in RNAcentral is "long non-coding RNA (TAES_LNC004792)". The record is from RNAcentral. Lineage: Eukaryota; Viridiplantae; Streptophyta; Magnoliopsida; Poales; Poaceae.
UACGAGUUUGGUUGCAUUGCAUGAGUAAUAUGUUGCAUUUAAAAACCUAAGGUAGAACAGAAGAUGAUUGUAUAUAGUUAACAUGCUAUGUCUGCAUUGGAUAUAAUCGGUAGUUUAUUUUCAGCAUAGUUUCAUGAUGCCAUGCCAUGCGUUGAUUUAUAUGUUAAAUUAUGCCAUGUUUGAGAUGAUAUGAUAGGUUUUGCUAUUACCAGGUUAUAAUCUUGUUUUAUUAUGCCUUGUUGUUGCCAUGUUAGUAGAUGCUAUGAUUUUGUUCAUGCUUAGUUGAUUUUUAUCAUGCCAUGUUUAGUAAUGGAUAUGAGAUAGGUUGUUGCAUAUGCUCGGUUCUCGCUCUGUCUUCUGCUUGUUUGGAUGCUAUGUAUUUGGUUGUCUUGCAAGUACAUGCAAUGUACUGACCUGGUGUGCCAUGCCAGUUUUGUAGGUCAUACCCGUAUUGUUCGCUUGAUCCGUCGUGCUAGGCCGUAACCUUGCCAGUCCUGUGAGUUGUGGAGCCCAGCCAGAGUUGAUGAGCCGCCAAACCAAGACUUCCGCCGCCUUUUUAUAGACUCCCACUGUCAUUUAAUAGCCUUAGGGCUAUGUCAGAUAAUUGUAUUCAUCAAUGAUGUACUCUGAUGCACAUGUAUUUGAUGAAUAUUAUUGUACCUGGAAUGCUGUAUUAUGGACCUGUCAUGCGUCAGGUGUUAUCCUGGCUGACGUGUGAAGGCCCCCUGCUCCAUGCGGAUCGGGGUGCCACAGGACAUGGUAUCAGAGCAGCCAGGCUGGCAUAGGUUAUCCUAGUAUUAGAUCACCGCUACCAUUAACCAGUAAUGGCCCUAAGGGAUUCAACCCAUCCCUGCAUCCGGCAUGGCCACUGUUAAUCAACAGGUGGCGUAGUCAGGACCGACACGUCCUCACCCCGCUGUCCCCGCCUAGUCAUCCGUGGAACGAAUAGCAACCAUAUCCUUUCGGGUUGGCCACACCGCUCACCCUUCGCCAUUAAGGGAAAGGGGCCACACCAUGCAGGCAUGUCUCACAUAGCUGCCUAUAAAAGCCCCCUUUUCGCUCGCCGUAUCGCUCACCCCUCAGUCAACCAUGUCCCUGCAGAGAAGCCUAGCUAGUAGCACUCCAGCCAUGACUGGCACCUUCAAAGCUCCCAAGUUUCACAGCCGCACCGGUGCUGUCAACCACCCCGGCUUUCCACCCCUUCUUGCUGAGAUGCUCACCAAAGCCUUUGGCUGUAAGGCUAGCCCCGAUUACCUGGUGUUCCAAUCAUCACCCGUCCCUCACCUUCAUCGCUUCGAUGCAAGAGUGUGCAUCAGCCUAGCAGCGGAUGGCCAGCCGUUGGUUUUUCAGGGUAGAGCUAUGCCUACCUCUGAUUUAGCCAUUCAGGCCGCUGCUGUGGAGGCUAUGCUUCACCUCCGAACCAGGUACCCGCAUAUGGCAGCGAGGCGGGAUUUCUGCUUUUACCCCAUUGUGACAGAAGUAGGAAUGCUGCCUUCUCCCGCUAUCCAAGGAGAUGACCCCGCAAUCGCUCACCUGGUGCAGUAUAUCACCGCCCAGGGGAUGAUGAUUUCCUAGAUGCUUGCCGAGUUUAGAACUCUGGACAACGAUGCGGUGCGAGUCGUCAAGGAAGCUUACCACGAGGCUCGCAAAUUCGCAUCUCAAGUCAUUUGUCCAACGCCAUCCGAACCAGUGAUGUCCUCUCAACCCGUGUUGUGGCCUAGACCCAACAUCGUCACCCUCGACAAGGCUCUUUUACAGAUCCACCAGCAGCAUUUGCUCGGAUCAAUUUCAGCCACACCCCCAGCAGCCGAACCCCAACCCAUAGUAGUGUCGGAUGAUGAAGAUGGAGAUUGGCUCAGUCUUCGUCCUCCCGGAGAGCCCCAGCAAGGCAAAUCCUCUGCAUGACCUUAGUCAAGCAGUAAGAUGAUCAGUGUGUCGGUUCAUCCUAGGUAUGAGGGUAGAACUAUGUAUCCCUAGAUGAGUUGCUUCGUUUAGCGCGUAGCGUGUUCGUGUUCUGUUGUCUGCUGGUACUGUUGUAGUCCGUAUGCUGUGUUCUAUGUAUGUUUUUGUGCUUUUGUUUUUGUGUUGUUUUUGCUUGUCUCUCUGUCAAGCAGAAAUGUUUGACAGGGUUGACACUGUGUUGCUAACAAGAUUUUAAUUAGUAGAUCACAUACACUAAAUUAACUCUGACUCGUCUUGAGUCUAUAAUAAAAUGCGCACUGGUGUAGGUAUAUGUAUACCAGGAGUACAUAUACCCACUAGCAUUAACACACUCUAGUAUGAAUUGUCUGGUGUGUUUCUCCGUUGCAUGAUUAUUGCCUCUGUCUGUUUGCUAGUUUAGAUUUUUCUGCGUACUGCACGCAUACCCGGUUCACCCAUGAGUACAUUCGGGCAGUACUCGGGGAAAUGCAAAGUCACAUAUCCCUAUCUAUCUGUGCAUACGCCGUGUGACGGAUUUCCAACUCUAGAAACCCCGCAGAGGCAUUUCCGCUUGGAAAUUCCUCGUCUCUAAUUCUUUUUCCUGAUUUCAUUUCCGGAGAAACACUGCCAAUUUUAUUUCACUCGAUCUAGUACAUCUACCCCGAUACAGGUUUCACCCUUGAUUCUACCUCGACACCUACGUUUCAUGGAGGAAUCCGCGAAAUUUUUCUCGGUGCCCCCAACUCGUUUGAAAUUAACCCAGAGGUUUUUCUCCGCAGUUGUUAUUCUUUCGUUUGUGCUGUAACCCUAGGAAUCUCGAGGACGAGAUUUCUUUUUAAGGGGGAAGAGUUGUAACAGCCCCAAAAUUGGGUUAUCAAUUUUUGUGCUGUUAUUCUCUCCUGGCACUCAUUUUCAAAAUUUUCUCCUGAGUUUGCAGGAUGACCCUGGGAAAAUUUUGUCAUUUCCAACCUUUCAAAAUCCUGCUCAUGUCUUUUUCAGUGGGCAAGACCUCAUUUGCAUCAGCUCAAUUCCUCUUAAACCCUAAUUCCAAAUUUUUGGAAUUUGGAUAUGUCCUUUGUGCUUACAAAGGAGCCAUCAUUUUCUUUGAUCUGUUGAUCCUCUCAAUUGAUCCCAGAGACCAUUCUACCUUUCUGAACCUUGGAUAUGCAAAAAUAUUGCUAAGUCCCAUGUAAUAUUUUUGAAUUAUGGUUUAUUCCUUUUAUUGCCUUUCUGAGGAAUAAAAUCCAAAGGCAUAGCUAGCCAUCUCCUAAAUUCAUGAGUAUUGGUGGAGUUGAUACUUAUGCCUAAUCCAAGCUCUCGCAAGUAUAUUGGCCAUAAUUAAAUAAGGAAAAUUGCCUUUUCCUAUUUAAUGCCAAUAUUGCAUUUCUGCCAUUUUCCAAAGAAACUACAAUUUUUAUAGCAGAGAAAAUUCCCACCUAAAUUGUGGAGCUUGUCCUUGCUAUAUAAUCACUAGUUCCAUCCUCAUCUCAUGUUCCUCAGUUCAAAAAUUGGGCACAUGAUCCAAUGCAAGUUUCUGCCUUCUCUAAAAUUUUGCAAAGGAAGUGAUUUAUUCCUAAAUCCAAUUGAUCUGGAAUUUGGAAGGGUGUUUAACAUUGGUAAAUCACCCAUGGAUACCAAAGAUAAGCUCAAUCCAUUUAUCCUAGCUCCCUGUGCAAUUUUUCAAAGUUUCUGACCAGAAUACAACUUUGUGAAGGAAGUACCUUCAUAGGGUUCCAAAAUGGGAUGAAAAUUUUCCCUCCUCUCCUAUAUUUCAAAUCAUUAGCCUCCACCAAAAUUCAGGUCAUUUCAUUGAACUAUGUGAGCAUAGGAGCAAUUCUUGUUUUCUGUCCAAAUUUUCAGUUUGUGAAGCAAGUGUUUUUUAUCUUGCUCCAUUAUGGCUGAUAAUUUUUCCAGGCCUUCUCCUACUCAUAUAACAUAUUGCCACAAGAUUGUGGCUCAUUUCACUUGACCAAUUGCCCUGAAGAUUUUUCUGAAGUUUUUGGACAAAAAUGAUAGCUGUGAAGGAAGUACCAUUUUGGUGAGUCCAUUUGGUAUGAACUUUUUACAGCAUCAUGGUAUGUUCAAAUCAUCAGGCUUUGCGAAGUUAUAGCCCAAUCCAUCACCCCUAGUGAGUGUUUCAUCAUGAUUAAGUGUCUGGGUCAGUUUUGGUGGUUGUACAACAACUAUGGUAAAUAGUUGUCCAUUUUACCUCAAAACUACCAGGACCGUAGUCCUUUCUACCCCAAGCCUCCCGGACAUCAAGUUUACCAUUUACCCUCUCUGGUUUAAUCUCUAGGAUGUUGCCAAGUUUGCAACAGCAAAUUUGUGGAGCUUGUUUCACUCAUCUCCAUUUGUCUCUGCCCGAUCUUUCACCAUGGUAACACUCCACGCUGGAAGGACUAUGCGGUAGACAUGAACUUACAUCAGUAAAACCCCCAGAGCGCGCCAUGCCAGUGGUGACUAUGAGGGUAGACAGCCAAAACGGUGGUCUAGCCACUGUUGUCGUCGGCAGCGCUGCUCCGGCCGCCUCUGGGCUCGCCAUUAAUGUCCAGUAGCCCCCCCUCGUCAUCGUCUUCCCUCUGGACCGCUGCCCCCCUUCGUUUUCUUCUCCGGCGAGCCGUGCCAACGACCGAGCAGUGCGCGCCCGUGAGCUCGUCGUCUUCCUCGCCUCUGUCCGCUUCCUCCUUUCGUCCCCGAGCGCCUCUCGUCUCCGUGAGCCUCUGCUGCUCGUCUUGACCCUCCUCGUCGCCUUCCCAUGCGCCUCCAUGACUGCUGCGGCUGGCAGAGCCAUGGACGGACGCGCUCGGCGGUGCUCGGCUCGGCCACCCCUCGCCCCGGCUAUAAAAGGAGCCCGCGACCCCCUCGAGCUCUUCAUCAGCUUCCUCACCCUCCUCUACGCCUCCCCAACCCCUCCUCUCGUCCCCGGUGUCACUCCUCCACUUCCAUCGCCGCCGUGGUCGCCGCCUCGGGUCCCUCUCGAUUCCGGCGAUCCCGCGCGCUCCUUGCCAUUUAGACUAAACCAGAGCCUCGCCCGGAGUCCGUCAAGCCUCCCCGUCGCCUCGCCCGACCGUUUUCCCCACCGGAGCCCCUAGUUCACCGGAGGCCGAAGCCCCUCUCCACCGCGGGCUGUGUGACUCCCUCUCCCAUGCUCGUCGCCGGCAACGGAGACCACCACGGGAUGCGCCUCCUCCUCCUGAUGAAGGAAAUAUGCCCUAGAGGCAAUAAUAAAGUAUUAUAUAUUUCCUUAUAUCAUGAUAAAUGUUUAUUAUUCAUGCUAGAAUUUUAUUAACCGGAAACAUAAUACAUGUGUGAAUACAUAGACAAACAGAGUGUCACUAGUAUGCCUCUACUUGACUAGCUCGUUAAUCAAAGAUGGUUAUGUUUCCUAGCCAUAGACAUGAGUUGUCAUUUUAUUAACAGGACCACCUCAUUAGGAGAAUGACGUGAUUGACUUGACCCAUUCCGUUAGCUUAGCACCCGAUCGUUUAGUAUGUUGCUAUUGCUUUCUUCAUGACUUAUACAUGUUCCUAUGACUAUGAGAUUAUGCAACUCCCGUUUACCGGAGGAACACUUUGUGUGCUACCAAACAUCACAACGUAAAUGGGUGAUUAUAAAGGUGCUCUACAGGUGUCUCCAAAGGUACUUGUUGGGUUGGCGUAUUUCGAGAUUAGGAUUUGUCACUCCGAUUGUCGGAGAGGUAUCUCUGGGCCCACUCGGUAAUGCACAUCACUAUAAGCCUUGCAAGCAUUGUGACUAAUGAGUUAGUUGCGGGAUGAUGUAUUACGGAACGAGUAAAGAGACUUGCCGGUAAUGAGAUUGAACUAGGUAUCAAGAUACCGACGAUCGAAUCUCGAGCAAGUAACAUACCGAUGACAAAGGGAACAACGUAUGUUGUUAUGCGGUCUGACCGAUAAAGAUCUUCGUAGAAUAUGUGGGAGCCAAUAUGGGCAUCCAGGUCCCGCUAUUGGUAAUUGACCGGAGAGGUGUCUCGGUCAUGUCUACAUAGUUCUCAAACCCGUGGGGUCCGCACGCUUAACGUUACGAUGACAGUUUUAUUAUGAGUUUAUGUAUGUUGAUGUACCGAAGGAGUUCGGAGUCCUGGAUGAGAUCGGGGACAUGACGAGGGGUCUCGAAAUGGCCGAGAUGUAAAGAUCGAUAUAUUGGCCGAUUAUAUUCGGACUUCAGAAAGGUUCCGAGUGAUUCGGGUAUUUUUCGGAGUACUGGAGAGUUACGGGAAUUCGUAUUGGGCCUUUAUGGGCCAGAAAGGAGAUAAAGACCCCAAAGGGUGGCCGCACCCCUCCCCAUGGGCUAGUCCGAAUUGGACUAGGGAGGGGGGCACUCCCUUCCUUCUUUCUCCUUCCCCCUUCCCUUCUCCUACUCCCACAAGGAAAGGAGGAGUCCUACUCCCGGUGGGAGUAGGACUCCCGCCUUGGGCGCGCCACCUCCCCUUGGCCGGCCCUCUCCCCCUUGCUCCUUUAUAUACGGGGGCAGGGGGCACCCCAUGGACACACUUGAUAUACGAUAUUUUAGCCUUGUGCGGUGCCCCCUCCACCAUAUUACACCUCGAUAAUACCGUUGCGAAGCUUAGGCGAAGACCUGCGUCGGUGGAACAUCAUCAUCGUCACCACGCCGUUGUGCUGACGAAACUCUCCCUCAACACUCGGCUGGAUCAGAGUUCGAGGGACGUCAUCAAGCUGAACGUGUGUAGAACUCGGAGGUGUUGUGCGUUCGGUACUUGAUCGGUCGGAUCGUGAAGACGUACGACUACAUCAACCGCGUUGUGAUACCGCUUCCGCUGUCGGUCUACGAGGGUACGUGGACAACACUCUCCCCUCUCGUUGCUAUGCAUCACCAUGAUCUUGCGUGUGCGUAGGAAUUUUUUUGAAAUUACUACGUUCCCCAACAGUGGCAUCCGAGCCUGGUUUUAUGCGUUGAUGCUAUGCACGAGUAGAACACAAGUGAGUUGUGGGCGAUAUAAGUCAUACUGCUUACCAGCAUGUCAUACUUUGGUUCAGCGGUAUUGUGAGAUGAAGCGGCCCGGACCAACAUUACGCGUACGCUUACGCGAGACUGGUUUCACCGUUGCGAGCACUCGUUGCUUAAAGGUGACCGGCGGGUGUCUGUCUCUCUCACUUUAGUUGAACCGAGUGUGGCUACGCCCGGUCCUUGCGAAGGUUAAAACAGCAUCAACUUGACAAGCUAUCGUUGUGGUUUUGAUGCGUAGGUAAGAACGGUUCUUGCUAAGCCCGUAGCAGCCACGUAAAACUUGCAACAACAAAGUAGAGGACGUCUAACUUGUUUUUGCAGGGCAUGUUGUGAUGUGAUAUGGUCAAGACAUGAUGUGAUAUAAUUUGUUGUAUGAGAUGAUCAUGUUUUGUAACCGAGUUAUCGGCAACUGGCAGGAGCCAUAUGGUUGUCGCUUUAUUGUAUGAAAUGCAAUCGCCAUGUAAUAGUUUUACUUUAUCACUAAGCGGUAGCGAUAGUCGUAAAAGCAAUAAGUUGGCGAGACGACAACUAUACUACGAUGGAGAUCAAGGUGUCGCGCCGGUGACGAUGGUGAUCAUGUCGGUGCUUCGGAGAUGGAGAUCACAAGCACGGUGCUUCGGAGAUGGAGAUCACAAGCACAAGAUGAUGAUGGCCAUAUCAUAUCACUUAUAUUGAUUGCACGUGAUGUUAAUCCUUUAUGCAUCUUAUCUUGCUUUGAUUGACGGUAGCAUUAUAAGAUGAUCUCUCAGUAAAAUUUCAAGAUAAAGUGUUCUCCCUGAGUAUGCACCAUUGCGAAAGUUCUUCAUGCUGAGACACCACGUGUUAAUCGGGUGUGAUAGGCUCUACGUUCAAAUACAACGGGUGCAAAACAGUUGCACACGCAGAAUACUCAGGUUAAACUUGACGAGCCUAGCAUAUACAGAUAUGGCCUCGGAACACAGAGACCGAAAGGUCGAGCGUGAAUCAUAUAGUAGAUAUGAUCAACAUAGUGAUGUUCACCAUUGAAACUACUCCAUCUCACGUGUUAAUCGGACAUGGUUUAGUUGAUUUGGAUCACGUAAUCACUUAGAUCAUUAGAGGGAUGUCUAUCUAAGUGGGAGUUUUAAGUAAUAUGAUUAAUUGAACUUAAAUUUAUCAUGAACUUAGUCCUGAUAGUAUUUUGCAAAUUAUGUUGUAGAUUAAUAGCUCGCGUUGUUGCUUCCCUCUGUUUAUUUUUGAUAUGUUCCGAGAGAAAAAUUAUGUUGAAAGAUGUUAGUAGCAAAGAUGCGGAUUGGAUCCGUGAUCUGAGGAUUAUCCUCAUUGCUGCACAGAAAAAUUAUGUCCUUGAUGCACCGCUAGGUGACAGACCUAUUGCAGGAGUAGAUGUAGACGUUAUGAACGUUUGGCUAGCUGAAUAUGAUGACUACUUCAUAGUUUAGUGCACCAUGCUUAACGGCUUAGAAUCGGGACUUCAAAGACGUUUUGAACAUCCUGGACCAUAUGAGAUUUUCCAGGAGUUGAAGUUAAUAUUUCAAGCAAAUACCCGAGUUGAGAGAUAUGAAGUCUCCAACAAGUUCUAUAGCUAAAAGAUGGAGGAGAAUCGCUCAACUAGUGAGCAUGUGGUCAGAUUGUCUGGGUACUACAAUCGCUUGAAUCAAGUGGGAGUUAAUCUUCCAGAUAAAAUAGUGAUUGACAGAAUUCUCUAGUCACCAUCACCAAGUUAGUAGAACUUCGUGAUGAACUAUAGUAUGCAAGGGAUGACGAAAGUAAUUCCCGCGCUCUUCGUGAUGCUGAAAUCGACGAAGGUAGAAAUCAAGAAAAACAUCAAGUGUUGAUGGUUGACGAGACCACUAGUUUCAAGAAAAGGGCAAAGGGAAGAAGGGGAACUUCAAGAAGAACGGCAAGCAAGUUGCUGCUCAAGUGAAGAAGCCUAAGUCUGGUCCUAAGCCUGAGACUAAGUGCUUCUACUACAAAGGGACUGGUCACUGGAAGCGGAACUAACCCAACUAUUUGGUGGAUAAGAAGGAUGGCAAAGUGAACAAAGGUAUAUUGGAUAUACAUGUUAUUGAUGUGUACUUUACAAGUGUUUAUAGCAACCCCUCGGUAUUUGAUACUGGUUCAGUUGCUAAGAGUAGUAACUCGAAACGGGAGUUGCAGAAUAAACAGAGACUAGUAAAAAGGCGAGGUGACGAUGUGUGUUAGAAGUAGUUCCAAGAUUGAUAUGAUCAUCAUCGCACACUCCCUGUACUUUCGGGAUUAGUGUUGAAACUAAAUAAGUGUUAUUUGGUGUUUGCGUUGAGCAUGAAUAUGAUUUGAUCAUGUUUAUUGCAAUACGGUUAUUCAUUUAAGUUAGAGAACAAUUGUUGUUGUGUUUACAUGAAUAAAAACCUUCUAUGGUCAUACACACCAACGAAAAUGGUUUGUUGGAUCUCGAUCGUAGUGAUACACAUAUUCAUAAUAUUAAGGCCAAAAGAUGCAAAGUUAAUAAUGAUAGUGCAACUUAUUUGUGGCACUGGCGUUUAGGUCAUAUUGGUGUAAAGAGCAUGAAGAAACUCCAUACUGAUGGGAUUUUGGAAUCACUUGAUUAUGAAUCACUUGAUGCUUGCGAACCGUGCCUCAUGGGCAAGAUGACUAAAAACACCAUUCCCCGGAACUAUGGAGAGAGCAACAGAUUUGUUGGAAAUCAUACAUACAGAUGUAUGUGGUCCGAUGAAUAUUGAGGCUCGUAGCAGGUAUCAUUAUUUUCUGACCUUCACAGAUGAUUUGAGCAGAUAUGGGUAUAUCUACUUGAUGAAACAUAAGUCUGAAGCAUUUGAAAAGUUCAAAGAAUUUCAGAGUGAAGUAGAAAAUCAUCGUGACGAGAAAAUAAGGUUUCUAUGAUUUGAUCGCGGAGACAAAUAUUUGAGUUAUGAGUUUGGUCUUCAAUUAAAACAAUGUGGAAUAGUUUCACAAAUUCACGCCACCUGGAACACCACGGUGUAAUGGUGUGUCCGAACAUCGUAACCGUACUUUAUUAGAUAUGGUGCGAUAUAUGAUGUCUCUUACCGAUCUACCACUAUCGUUUUGGGGUUAUGCAUUAGAGACAGCUGCAUUCACGUUAAAUAGGGCACCAUCAAAAUCCGUUAAGACGGCGCCUAAUGAACUGUGGUUUAGCAAGAAACCAAAGUUGUCGUUUCUUAAAAAUUUGGGGUUGCGAUGCUUAUGUGAAAAGGUUUCAUCCUGAUAAUCUCAAACCCAAAUCGGAGAAAUGUGUCUGCAUAGGAUACCCAAAGGAGACAGUUGGGUACACCUUCUAUCACAGAUCCGAAGGCAAGACAUUCGUUGCUAAGAAUGAAUCCUUUCUAGAGAAGGAGUUUCUCUCGAAAGAAGUGAGUGGGAGAAAAGUAGAACUUGAUGAGGUAAUUGUACCUGCUCCCUUAUUGGAAAGUAGUUCAUCACAGAAAUCUGUUCCUGUGACUCCUACACCAAUUAGUGAGAAAGUUAAUGAUGAUGAUCAUGUAACUUCAGAUCAAGUUACUACCAAACCUCGUAGGUAAACCAGAGUAAGAUCCGCACCAGAGUGGUACGGUAAUCCUGUUCUGGAGGUUAUGUGACUAGACCAUGACGAACCUACGAACUAUGAAGAAGCGAUGGUGAGCCCAGAUUCCACAAAAUGGCUUGAGGCCAUGAAAUCUGAGAUGAGACCCAUGUAUGAGAACAAAGUGUGGACUUUGGUUGACUUGCCCGAUGAUCGGCAAGCAAUUGAGAAUAAAUGGAUCUUCAAGAGGAAGACGGACGCUGAUAGUAGUGUUACUAUCUACAAAGCUAGAAUUGUCGCAAAAAGGUUUUUCGACAAGUUCAAAGUGUUGACUACGAUGAGAGUUUCUCACUCGUAUCUAUGCUUAAGUCUGUCCGAAUCAUGUUAGCAAUUGCCGCAUUUUAUGAAAUAUGGCAAAUGGAUAAACAAAACUGCAUUCCUUAAUGGAUUUAUUAAAGAAGAGUUGUAUAUGAUGCAACCAGGAAGUUUUGUCAAUCCUAAAAGUGCUAACAAAAUAUGCAAGCUCCAGCGAUCCAUCUAUGGACUGGUGCAAGUAUCUCGGAGUUGGAAUAUACGCUUUGAUAAGUUGAUCAAAGGAUAUAGUUUUAUACAGACUUGCGGUGAAGCCUGUAUUUACAAGAAAGUGAGUGGGAGCACUACAACAUUUCUGAUAAGUAUAUGUGAAUGACAUAUUGUUGAUCGGAAAUAAUGUAGAAAUAUUCUGCAAAGCAUAAAUGAGUGUUUGAAAGGAGUUUUUCAAAGAAAUACCUCGGUGAAGCUGCUUGCAUAUUGAGCAUCAAGAUCUAUAGAGAUAGAUCAAGACGCUUGAUAAGUUUUUUCAAUGAGUACAUACCUUAGCAAGAUUUUGAAGUAGUUUAAAAUGGAACAGUCAAAGAAAGAGUUUCUUGCCUGUGUUACAAGGUGUGAAAUUGAGUAAGACUCAAAGCCCGACCAUGGCAGAAGAUACGAAAAGAAUGAAAGUCAUUCCCUAUGCCUCGGCCAUAGGUUCUAUAAAGUAUGCCAUGCUGUGUACCAGAUCUAUUGUAUACCCUACACCGUUGGCAAGGGAGUACAAUAGUGAUCUAGGAGUAGAUCACUGGACAGCGGUCAAAAUUAUCCUUAGUGGAAUAAGGAUAUGUUUCUCGAUUAUGGAAGUGACAAAAGGUUCGUCGUAAAGAGUUACGUCGAUGCAAGUUUUGACACCAAUCUAGAUGACUCUAAGUCUCGGUCUAGAUACAUAUUGAAAGUGGGAGCAAUUAGCUAGAGUAGCUCCGAGCAGAGCAUUGUAAACAUAGAAAUUUACAAAAUACUUACGGAUCUGAAUGUGACAGACCCGUUGACUAAAAUUAUCUCACAAUCAAAACAUGAUCACACCUUAGUACUCUUUGGGUGUUAAUCACAUAGCGAUGUGAACUAGAUUAUUGACUCUAGUAAACCCUUUGAGUGUUAGUCACAUAGAGAUGUGAACUAUGGGUGUUAGUCACAUGGUGAUGUGAAUUAUUGAUGUUAAAUCACAUGGCGAUGUGAACUAGAUUAUUGACUCUAGUGCAAGUGGGAGACUGAAGGAAAUAUGCCCUAGAGGCAAUAAUAAAGUAUUAUAUAUUUCCUUAUAUCAUGAUAAAUGUUUAUUAUUCAUGCUAGAAUUUUAUUAACCGGCAACAUAAUACAUGUGUGAGUACAUAGACAAACAGAGUGUCACUAGUAUGCCUCUACUUGACUAGCUCGUUAAUCAAAGAUGGUUAUGUUUCCUCGCCAUAGACAUGAGUUGUCAUUUGAUUAACGGGAUCACCUCAUUAGGAGAAUGACGUGAUUGACUUGACCCAUUCCGUUAGCUUAGCACCCGAUCGUUUAGUAUGUUGCUAUUGCUUUCUUCAUGACUUAUACAUGUUCCUAUGACAAUGAGAUUAUGCAACUCCCGUUUACCGGAGGAACACUUUGUGUGCUACCAAACGUCACAACGUAAAUGGGUGAUUAUAAAGGUGCUCUACAGGUGUCUCCAAAGGUACUUGUUGGGUUGGCGUAUUUCGAGAUUACGAUUUGUCACUCCGAUUGUCGGAGAGGUAUCUCUGGGCCCACUCGGUAAUGCACAUCACUAUAAGCCUUGCAAGCAUUGUGACUAAUGAGUUAGUUGCGGGAUGAUGUAUUACGGAACGAGUAAAGAGACUUGCCGGUAACGAGAUUGAACUAGGUAUCGAGAUACCGACGAUCGAAUCUCGAGCAAGUAACAUACCGAUGACAAAGGGAACAACGUAUGUUGUUAUGCGGUCUGACCGAUAAAGAUCUUCAUAGAAUAUGUGGGAGCCAAUAUGGGCAUCCAGGUCCCGCUAUUGGUUAUUGACCAGAGAGGUGUCUCGGUCAUGUGUACAUAGUUCUCGAACCCGUAGGGUCCGCACGCUUAACGUUACGAUGAAAGUUUUAUUAUGAGUUUAUGUAUGUUGAUGUACCGAAGGAGUUCGGAGUCCCGGAUGAGAUCGGGGACAUGACGAGGAGUCUCGAAAUGGCCGAGACGUAAAGAUUGAUAUAUUGGACGACUAUAUUCGAACUUCGGAAAGGUUCCGAGUGAUUCGGGUAUUUUUCGGAGUACCGGAGAGUUACUGUGACACCCAAAAUUUUAUUUGGAUUUUUCAAAAAAUUUACUUGACUUGAGGGAGGUGUUUUAAAAAAAUUUCUUCAAAAGAACCCUCCCUUUCAAAAUAUUUUUUUAUGGCAAGAGUUUUAUUUGGAUUCACCCAAGACUUUUUUUAGUCUUGGAGGUUCUUGCUUUUUAUUUUUGACUCAAGCCAAAAUGCUUUUCACUUGGGAAAAAUGCCUUUUGAAAAUCUCUUUGAAAAUGCACUAUGGCUUUUGGAAUAAUCCUUUACCACUUUCAACAAAUCCCUCUUGCCAUGGCCUUAGUGCAAAUUCACUCUCCUAAACCUUCCCUCAUCUUUGGAUCAUGAUUUGCAUCAAAUCCAGCAAGUUGGACCUCCCUACAUGAUUAUUUUCCAUUUAAUCUUGUCAAAACAUUUUCUGCCCUCUAUUCUAGCCCUUGGAGGUUUACAAAGGAACUACUCUUUCUGCUUUGAUUUUGCCCCCAAACCUUUUUCCCUUCCUAGUCCUUUGAACCCUCAACCAAGAUCCAUGAAGAUCCUCUGGUCUUCAGUUCAAAUUUUUCAAACUAUACUUGCUGCAAGUUUGGACCAGAUUUGUCAAAUUUGAUGAAAUUCAUUCAAAUCCCUCUCCAAAAUUUUUGAGAAAAAUCAGGCAGCCUCUGGGUGCAUUGAGAGGUCACCUCACCAAGUCCCAGCCCCAGGAAAAAUUUUCUUCACGCCAAAUCAUUCUGUCAAACACCUGCAGAGCAUUGUCAAUGUCAAGUUCAGAGAUUCAGAAAUGCAGUUCAGUAACCUACUGUCGUUUUCUUCAGAACCUGUUGUCGAUCUCGACAGUGCCGCGUUGGCGCCUUGCUCCCCGUCCCCUCCCCCUUGUUCCUGCACCGCAGGAGCGCCUGGAUGGUUGCGGGCAUCAGCGACGUGCUGGAGGAGGUGCGCCGCCCCAUGACUGACGCCAGCGGCGGCUUUGCGGCCGCCAGAGAGAGGCGCAGCGUAGACGGCGCCACCCAGCGCCGCCCAAGCCACCGGAGGCCGCCGCGUGGCCACCCACUCCCCCGUGCGCGCUGCCACUCUCGUCGUGAACCGCUGGGCGCGGAGCGCGCUCUCUUCCGUCGUCGUGCCCAUGCGGCCACCCCACCGUGGACCGGCGCCAUUACGCCAAGACCGACCAGGAUUAGCAGGGGAACAGCACCAGUACACCUCACUGAUAAUGCCUGACCACUUAAGCUCCCUGCCAAGACACUGCCUCGCCGUAAUUGCUCGCCGGAGCAACCCCGUUCACAGCCACCCCCUCGAUCCGCCUAUAAAUAGAGGCCCCGAGCUUCAACUCGAGCCCACACCACCUCUGCACUCCACCAAGACCCUGCCUAGCCACUGGAAGCGCCCCGAGGAAGCCUCCUUCCUCAACUCCGGCCGCCGCGACCCGCCACGGGAUCCAGCUCGAUUCGCUCCCGUGCGUGCACCUCUGCCUCCCAUCUCUUUCCAAUAGCUCUCUAGUGCAUCCCUCCUUCUGACCCGCACUUCAAUUCGAAGUUUGCAGCACACCACCGGAGUUCUCCACCAUCACCCGAGCCGCCGUCCGCCGGAGAAAGUGUCGCCGUCGACGUGGUGCUCUCCGUCGGUCGAGUCCACCACCCACCGACGCGGAAGGACACGCUGAAGCUCUUGGUACACUCCGAUCUCCCUGUCUCGCCGUGGUUCGACGCCGGCGACCACCGCAGUCUUCGGGCGCCGGCGAGCUUUUUAAACCUGACAUGUGGACCCCCCUGUCAGCCUCUAUUCUUUUCUCCCUCGAAACGUUUUCUGUUGGCGCCUUCGGGCAAAUACGUCUUCCCUUUGAGCUGGCGCGUUUCUUUCCGAAGCAUUUUCUGUUUUCUCAGUUAAGCCCCUGGAACUUUUCUGUUUCAUUACAGAUGAGUCCCUGGACAGAAACCUUUAUAACUUUUUAAUAAAAAGUGAUUUUUGAGUGAUUCUUUUUCUGAAAGUCUUAAAAUUUUGUCUAGUUUUUUAUGGGAUUUAUUUGGAAAAAAAUUUGGAACAACUUUUAUGCACGCGUUGGUUUUCACGUUAGUAUGCAUUUUUCGCUAUACCGUAGGUUCCGGGAGAGGUGACGGAGCCGCGAACUUCGCCGAGCUAGACUCCGACUUCUCCGAACCAGGCAAGCAUGUUUGAACCUUUGAUAUGAUAGGUGUUUUGCAUGUUUACGUGAGAGGUUGUGCGUGACAUAUGAGUGUCGGUGAGUACCUCGUUGCUUGUAAGGCAACUACCCGCGUGUUCCAAAGUUGCGAUGAUCUCUGAUGAGAGAUGGCCUAAUCAUGUGGUCACAUGAAGGGCAGCAAGGUGGUACUGUUGUAGCAUGCCAUCCUUGCGUCAUCUGACAAAUUCCGACGUUAACGUGGACGGAGUCACGUUAUCGUUCUUUUCCCUUCCGUACUACCACAUGUUUCUUUUGCCAGGAUGCGGUUUAGUAAGUUUGGUAACCUCUUUCCGUGUACACACCAAACAGAGGGGCCGGGAUGAUGGUUCCAUGGCCCUGGAUUAAAGCCAGUCAUCCGGUCAGGGGGCAUGGGUGUUUCCGGUUGGGACCGAGAGGGGGGGCACCCCCUUAGAGCGCGCGUAUAGAAAUUUGAUCCCAUGCUACGCGAGGUUGUAGCCUCCCCGUCUCAAGGUUUUUCUUGAACGUUGCCGAGGGUGAUCCCUGGCUUCGGAAUGUUGAAUGGGUGUGUACUGGUUAGAUGUGUUUCUUCCAAAACACCGUAGACGGAACUAGUCCCCGUGACUACUGAAAUCCGUUGGCUGUGGUUAAAGUACAAACUCUGCAGAGUCAAAUCCUUUCGAGUCGUCGUAUCCAUGUUCAAGUAUCGUGAUCAGUGUAUCCAUAUCUAUGUCAAGUCUUCGUGGUUUGUUCUCUUUUCCGGUAAGUGAGCUUGAGUAGUAGACCUGGCUGAACGUUACUCCUGUGGAUGAGCUAACCCUGUUAUUUACCUCAUGCCUGAUUAUUUCUCUUGAUAUGAUUUAAAAUUCAUGAGCUACUAAGUUAUGAAUAUAAGCCCUUUAUGUGAUGUCGCUCAGACGUCCGACUGUGGCAUGUUUGUCUUUUACUUUUAAUAUAAGCCCUUUAUGUGAUGUCGCUCAGACGUCCGACUGUGGCAUGUUUGUCUUUUACUUUUAAUAUAAGCCCUUUAUAUGAUGUCGCUCAGACGUCCGACUGUGGCACGCACUGUCUUUUAUUUUCUAUUAUAAGCCCUUUAUGUGGUGUCGCCCCGAAGCCCGACUGCGGCAUUAUUAUUCUUGCAGUUUCCUCUCGAGGAGUCAUUCAGACCCUCGUUUGGCACCGGUAUUAUUAUUCUUGCAGUUUCCUCUCGAGGAGUCAUUCAGACCCUCGUUUGGCACCCAGUAUUUAUUUUGGGAUUUCGGGAGGACUACCGCCCGACUUCUCGGUUAUUUUCCCAUGCAUGAUGAUCCCUAUGUCUGAACGCACUUGUUAAUCUGUUCAUAUGAUUCAUGUUUACAUUUGUUAUAUCUUAUGUCCGAACUGUCUUGCGAGUACUUUCAUAGUACUCACCUGGCUUGUUGUUUUGGCCAGAUGUUGACGAAGGCGAUCUCUUGGAUGAAGAGUUUGAUAGUGAGUCCGACGCCUAGAGGAGUCCCAGUCAGUCCCGUGCGAUCCUGGAUAUUGGUCACUUGUUUUAUAUACGCUUCCGCCACCCGCAAUAAGUCUCCUCGAGCCUCACUCCGACGCUCGAAGAGCUGUAGUUUUCAGGAGUCAUAUCACCCUCUCCGCUAUGAUAUUUCCACCACCGUUGUUAUUGUGAGUUAGUAGUUAUGCCACCCUAUCCGCCGUUAUGUUUUAUCGGCGUGUUUGUAAUAAAUUGUUGAGCAGUCUCCGCUCAACCUCGUAUUUAAUCAGUACUCCUGGUAUUUUUCUUCUGUGACCAAGAUAUUGUCUACCAGUGAGAAGGAAUUCUUCUUUACUGCUCCUUAAAAGGGAUUGGUCUCUCAAUAAAUAUUUUAUUGAAAAACAGGUCGUGACAGUUACGGGAAUUCGUAUUGGGCCUUUAUGGGCCAUACGGGAAAGGAGAUAAAGACCCCAAAGGGUGGCCGCACCCCUCCCCAUGGGCUAGUCCGAAUUGGACUAGGGAGGGGGGGCGCUCCCUUCCUUCUUUCUCCUACCCCCUUCCCUUCUCCUACUCCCACGAGGAAAGGAGGAGUCCUACUCCCGGUGGGAGUAGGACUCCACCCUUGGGCGCGCCACCUCCCCUUGGCCGGCCCUCUCCCCCUUGCUCCUUUAUAUACGGGGGCGGGGGGGGCACCCCAUGGACACACUUGAUAUACGAUAUUUUAGCCGUGUGCGGUGCCCCCUUCCACCAUAUUACACCUCGAUAAUACCGUUGCGGAGCUUAGGCGAAGCCCUGCGUCGGUGGAACAUCAUCAUCGUCACCACGCCGUCGUGCUGACGAAACUCUCCCUCAACACUCGGCUGGAUCGGAGUUCGAGGGACGUCAUCGAGCUGAACGUGUGUAGAACUCGGAGGUGCCGUGCGUUCGGUACUUGAUCGGUCGGAUCGUGAAGACGUACGACUACAUCAACCGCGUUGUGAUAACGCUUCCGCUGUCGGUCUACGAGGGUACGUGGACAACACUCUCCCCUCUCGUUGCUAUGCAUCACCAUGAUCUUGUGUGUGCGUAGGAUAUUUUUUGAAAUUACUACGUUCCCCAACACCUGAGCCCAUGGGUAGGUCGCCAGUCGCCUGCCAUGGCCGGACGCGCCGGCGAGCGCCGUCGGGGCGGGCGUCUCCCCUCGGCCAGGCGUGCGUCGAGUGGGAGGAAGAAGAAAGCCAGCUAGGUGGGCCCCACCCCUCGCGGGUCCCCCUCGUCAGUGACCCCGCGUUGGCCCCGCCUUGCCACGUCAAUUAAGUGGCGGCGCCUCGGGCUAUUUUCGGUUUACGGAACCCGUAGGCGUAUUUCCUGGAGUGCGCUUUCCCUUAGCCGAAAUCAUAUUCCUCCCCUUCUUUGGGCCAGAAUACGAUUUCCUUUCUGGAAAGCGUAUUUCCGAGAAAGACGUGAUCUGUUUUUCUGCUAGGGCCCCGUUUGUAAUGAUUUCUUUACAGAUAGGUCCCUGAUAGUUAAACGGUCAUAUCUUUUUACCCACAACUCCAAAUGAGGUGAAUCCAAAGCCCACGUCUUUGUUUUGUCGAGCCCGUUCCGUUGAUGUCAUUUUCAUAAUAUUUUCACACAGUGAAAAUGACCUUUUUGCCCUUGCCCGCAAACAGCCCCCUCCGAGAAGGAACUGUUUCCGGCAAAUCUUUUCGCGAUCAUUUCGCACUUCUUCCCGGAGUAUUUGUCGACCCCCAGGCAAGCCAACCUCUUAUCAUGAGCCCCAAACUUGCAUGUUGACUUUGCUUGCACCUUGUGUGUGUGUAGUUGCAGUUGUUUCAUAUCGUUUUCAUCUGCAGUUAUUCCUUUAUGCCUGUCAUGCAUGCUUGCGUUUUCAUGAUAUCUUUUGCCAUGCUAAUUAAACUCUUGUUAUUGAUAAUGCCAUGUCACUACUCUACUUUAUUUGCAUGUCAUCGUUAUACAAUGUUAUGAGGAUUGUAAUGCACCGUUGAUAUGCUAUUACUUGGUAUUGUCAUGUACUUUAUGCUAUAGCUGUGCACUUGAGUAGUUCAAUAUUUUGUUCAUGCAAUCGUAUGCUGCAUGCUCAUUGUUGCAUUCAUGUUCAUGAUGAUGGAGAAGGAAAUAAAAUGACUUAAUAAUAACAAACCUCCUCCGUCAUCGAUGGGAUCGAGUCAUAGUGCCACCAAAUCGAACUUUUUCAGUGCAGCCACAUUUGCCUUUGUGGGAAGGCCUUAAUGCGAGCUAUUGUCGUGACCUCUCGCCGGUGCCUCCCACUAGGGAAGGUUAUGGGUGUGCUUACCCUGAUCAGGUAAGCGGACAUAACCUUGUGUGCUCGUUUUUAGAUUUUUGGUACCAGUCCCCGAGUGGGAGUUGACCACGACGGUGGUUGGGGUGUCUUUGGUAGACACGGGGCCACCCAGGACCAGCCCGUUGGGGAUUGGGUCGGAGUGGCCGGGAGAGCGUCAUGGCAGUAGGUUGGUUUCGUCGGAAUGCCGUUGGUCCACCCGAAUGGGAUGACGAGGCCAUGGGUUCCGUGGUGUGGGUAAAGUGUGCUACCUCUGCAGAGUGUAUAAAGUCUAUCGAUAAGUGUUGGAGACCAAGUGUUGGUCAUGGUUGUGAUCGUCGGAAAGACCACCGUUCGGUUGUGAGGCAACCCGCUGGUAAGAGAGUCCGAGGGACUCGGUGUACGAGUUUGGUUGCAUUGCAUGAGUAAUAUAUUGCAUUUAAUAACCUAAGGCAGAACAGAAGAUGAUUGUAUAUAGUUAACAUGCUAUGUCUGCAUUGGAUAUAAUCGGUAGUUUAUUUUCAGCAUAGUUUCAUGAUGCCAUGCCAUGCGUUGAUUUAUAUGUUAAAUUAUGCCAUGUUUGAGAUGAUAUGAUAGGUUUUGCUAUUACCAUGUUAUAAUCUUGUUUUAUUAUGCCUUGUUAUUGCCAUGUUAGUAGAUGCUAUGAUUUUGUUCAUGCUGAGUUGAUUUUUAUCAUGCCAUGUUUAGUAAUGGAUAUGAGAUAGGUUGUUGCAUACGCUCGGUUCUCGCUUUGUCUUCUGCUUGUUUGGAUGCUAUGCAUUUGGUUGUCUUGCAAGUACAUUCAAUGUACUGACCUGGCGUGUCAUGCCAGUUUUGUAGGUCAUACCCGUAUUGUUCGCUUGAUCCGUCGUGCUAGGCCGUAACCUUGCCAGUCCUGUGAGUAGUGGAGCCCAGCCAGAGUUGAUGAGCCACCAAACCAAGACUUCCGCCGCCUUUUUAUAGACUUCUGUUGUCAUUUAAUAGCCUUAGGGCUAUGUUAGAUAAUUUUAUUCAUCAAUGAUGUACUCUGAUGCACAUGUAUUUGAUGAAUAUUAUUGUACCUGGAAUGCUGUAUUAUGGACCUGUCGUGCGUCAGGUGUUAUCCUGGGCUGACGUGCGAAGGCCCCCUGCUCCAUGCGGAUCGGGGUGCCACAGUUCCCCACCAACGUGGUGGUCUACGACGAGCCGCUUCCACGCGCGGACAGCGGCGGCAGCACCGUCACGGAAGUGCUCAUCAUCAGCCAUGGCGAGCACUCUGGCGGGGGUGGUCAGGAUCCGUUGCAGGCAGCAAUGCAAGACCUAACUGCGCCCAUCCCGGAAGACGCCGACGCCGAGACGCUGGAAGCACGCCGCGUCCAGCUCGUGGAGAGCGCCAACCGGCUGGCCAGCAUGAGACGCCUUUCGGAGGCCUACCAGCGGGAGAUGGACCGUGCUGUCGGAGGCACGCCGGCUCCUGGUGGGCCUAGCCGCAUUGGCCAGAUCCGGCAGCGUGGCGCGGCCAUCGCCAGCAUGUUCGGGACAGAUCGUCCCGUCUAUGCCACGCCUGCAGAGAACAUACAGGCUGCGGAGCUUAGGCGAAGCCCUGCGUCGGUGGAACAUCAUCAUCGUCACCACGCCGUCGUGCUGACGAAACUCUCCCUCAACACUCGGCUGGAUCGGAGUUCGAGGGACGUCAUCGAGCUGAACGUGUGUAGAACUCGGAGGUGCCGUGCGUUCGGUACUUGAUCGGUCGGAUCGUGAAGACGUACGACUACAUCAACCGCGUUGUGAUAACGCUUCCGCUGUCGGUCUACGAGGGUACGUGGACAACACUCUCCCCUCUCGUUGCUAUGCAUCACCAUGAUCUUGUGUGUGCGUAGGAUAUUUUUUGAAAUUACUACGUUCCCCAACACCUGAGCCCAUGGGUAGGUCGCCAGUCGCCUGCCAUGGCCGGACGCGCCGGCGAGCGCCGUCGGGGCGGGCGUCUCCCCUCGGCCAGGCGUGCGUCGAGUGGGAGGAAGAAGAAAGCCAGCUAGGUGGGCCCCACCCCUCGCGGGUCCCCCUCGUCAGUGACCCCGCGUUGGCCCCGCCUUGCCACGUCAAUUAAGUGGCGGCGCCUCGGGCUAUUUUCGGUUUACGGAACCCGUAGGCGUAUUUCCUGGAGUGCGCUUUCCCUUAGCCGAAAUCAUAUUCCUCCCCUUCUUUGGGCCAGAAUACGAUUUCCUUUCUGGAAAGCGUAUUUCCGAGAAAGACGUGAUCUGUUUUUCUGCUAGGGCCCCGUUUGUAAUGAUUUCUUUACAGAUAGGUCCCUGAUAGUUAAACGGUCAUAUCUUUUUACCCACAACUCCAAAUGAGGUGAAUCCAAAGCCCACGUCUUUGUUUUGUCGAGCCCGUUCCGUUGAUGUCAUUUUCAUAAUAUUUUCACACAGUGAAAAUGACCUUUUUGCCCUUGCCCGCAAACAGCCCCCUCCGAGAAGGAACUGUUUCCGGCAAAUCUUUUCGCGAUCAUUUCGCACUUCUUCCCGGAGUAUUUGUCGACCCCCAGGCAAGCCAACCUCUUAUCAUGAGCCCCAAACUUGCAUGUUGACUUUGCUUGCACCUUGUGUGUGUGUAGUUGCAGUUGUUUCAUAUCGUUUUCAUCUGCAGUUAUUCCUUUAUGCCUGUCAUGCAUGCUUGCGUUUUCAUGAUAUCUUUUGCCAUGCUAAUUAAACUCUUGUUAUUGAUAAUGCCAUGUCACUACUCUACUUGAUUUGCAUGUCAUCGUUAUACAAUGUUAUGAGGAUUGUAAUGCACCGUUGAUAUGCUAUUACUUGGUAUUGUCAUGUACUUUAUGCUAUAGCUGUGCACUUGAGUAGUUCAAUAUUUUGUUCAUGCAAUCGUAUGCUGCAUGCUCAUUGUUGCAUUCAUGUUCAUGAUGAUGGAGAAGGAAAUAAAAUGACUUAAUAAUAACAAACCUCCUCCGUCAUCGAUGGGAUCGAGUCAUAGUGCCACCAAAUCGAACUUUUUCAGUGCAGCCACAUUUGCCUUUGUGGGAAGGCCUUAAUGCGAGCUAUUGUCGUGACCUCUCGCCGGUGCCUCCCACUAGGGAAGGUUAUGGGUGUGCUUACCCUGAUCAGGUAAGCGGACAUAACCUUGUGUGCUCGUUUUUAGAUUUUUGGUACCAGUCCCCGAGUGGGAGUUGACCACGACGGUGGUUGGGGUGUCUUUGGUAGACACGGGGCCACCCAGGACCAGCCCGUUGGGGAUUGGGUCGGAGUGGCCGGGAGAGCGUCAUGGCAGUAGGUUGGUUUCGUCGGAAUGCCGUUGGUCCACCCGAAUGGGAUGACGAGGCCAUGGGUUCCGUGGUGUGGGUAAAGUGUGCUACCUCUGCAGAGUGUAUAAAGUCUAUCGAUAAGUGUUGGAGACCAAGUGUUGGUCAUGGUUGUGAUCGUCGGAAAGACCACCGUUCGGUUGUGAGGCAACCCGCUGGUAAGAGAGUCCGAGGGACUCGGUGUACGAGUUUGGUUGCAUUGCAUGAGUAAUAUAUUGCAUUUAAUAACCUAAGGCAGAACAGAAGAUGAUUGUAUAUAGUUAACAUGCUAUGUCUGCAUUGGAUAUAAUCGGUAGUUUAUUUUCAGCAUAGUUUCAUGAUGCCAUGCCAUGCGUUGAUUUAUAUGUUAAAUUAUGCCAUGUUUGAGAUGAUAUGAUAGGUUUUGCUAUUACCAUGUUAUAAUCUUGUUUUAUUAUGCCUUGUUAUUGCCAUGUUAGUAGAUGCUAUGAUUUUGUUCAUGCU